CGGAGUUGUGCAAGUGUUUUUGUUUGUUCCCUGCAUUUCGAAGAUGCUUGUUUUACAAACAAGUCCCAGUUUGACGCCGGAUUUGCAAAGCGUUUAUUUCUUAAGGAUGAUGCAGUCCCAACGAAAAAUGGUCACGAUCGUGUGUUGGAAUCGCAGGCGCCAAAAACACCAUGAAGAAAUGAGGAGGUGAUUGAGAGAUGAAAAGGUGGGAUAAGAGCUGUAAAAACAGAGCGAGAGAAAAAGCAGAGAGUAUGGAUGAGUGUGAAGAGGAGGAAGUCAUCAUUUGAGCAGGUGACUCACUGAGGGGAGAGAGAAGUGCUGGUCCGUACCGAGGGUAAGUGGACAGGCAGAAGGGAUGGAGUAAUCUCAUGCUGCCGUAUCGAUUUCCAUGAUAUCAGAUUUGACCAGGAAGAAACAUAGUGAGAGGAGGAGAAACCAUGGAGAUCAUGACCUCUGGGGUCAGAAGAGAGGUUAGAGGAG
Long non-coding RNA from Cyprinus carpio carpio, 480 nucleotides. The record is from Ensembl. NCBI's taxonomy places the organism in Eukaryota, Metazoa, Chordata, Actinopteri, Cypriniformes, Cyprinidae.